UUAAAUUGUCCAACAAUCAGCUCGUGAAAGUUUUUAUAUGUAUUACAUUCUUCAACAAAAAAAAAUGACCAUACUAAAAAAAUGUCACAAUACCACAAUUGCUUAUUAUGACACCAAAAAAUAUGUACAAGAAUUCUUUUGAACUUACUGUCUAACAACUAUUGAAAAUCAACUAUCACCUUAUAACAACAUGACAAAUCAUGGCUGAUCUAGUAUAGUCGUCAACUCCCAAGCCAUUUCUUUUCUUUGCCUUUAUCACACCAUCUCCACAUCCUUGCAACACCACUACUCUAAUCUCUUCCAGUACGAAUGUCUUCAUUUUGUCACCUCCUUUGAAAUAAUCCCACAACUUAAAUCCGUCAACACCAAUCCAAUGCAUUACUGCCAUUGCCUCUA
RNAcentral lists this long non-coding RNA (396 nucleotides) under Physcomitrium patens. RNAcentral describes it as "long non-coding RNA (PPAT_LNC004265)". The record is from RNAcentral. Lineage: Eukaryota; Viridiplantae; Streptophyta; Bryopsida; Funariales; Funariaceae.